GAUGAACGCUAGCUACAGGCUUAACACAUGCAAGUCGAGGGGCAGCACAGUGUAGCAAUACACGGGUGGCGACCGGCGCACGGGUGCGUAACGCGUAUCCAACCUUCCCGUUACUCUUGGAUAGCCUUCCGAAAGGGAGAUUAAUACAAGAUGGUGUUGAAAUUCCGCAUGUUAUUUCAACUAAAGAUUUAUCGGUAACGGAUGGGGAUGCGUGACAUUAGAUAGUAGGCGGGGUAACGGCCCACCUAGUCUACGAUGUCUAGGGGUUCUGAGAGGAAGGUCCCCCACACUGGAACUGAGACACGGUCCAGACUCCUACGGGAGGCAGCAGUGAGGAAUAUUGGUCAAUGGUCGGAAGACUGAACCAGCCAAGUAGCGUGAAGGAUGAAGGUUCUAUGGAUUGUAAACUUCUUUAUACGGGAGUAAAACACCUUACGUGUAGGGUCUUGUAUGUACCGUAUGAAUAAGCAUCGGCUAACUCCGUG
RNAcentral lists this ribosomal RNA (485 nucleotides) under uncultured bacterium. RNAcentral describes it as "bacterial SSU rRNA". It matches the Rfam family "Bacterial small subunit ribosomal RNA", at positions 28 to 507 of the family's 1533-position model. The record is from RNAcentral.